Molecule: transfer RNA, 101 nt
Filed under: Ustilago sp. UG-2017a
Lineage: Eukaryota; Fungi; Basidiomycota; Ustilaginomycetes; Ustilaginales; Ustilaginaceae
Description: transfer RNA-Arg(TCG)
Rfam family: tRNA
About the family: Transfer RNA (tRNA) molecules are approximately 80 nucleotides in length. Their secondary structure includes four short double-helical elements and three loops (D, anti-codon, and T loops).
Source: RNAcentral
GGGUCUUUAGCUCAGCAGUAGAGCGGCAGACUUCGGUUGUCACAUUCGAAGAUACCUUGAGGGUAUUCUGCAGGUCGCGGGUUCAAUCCCCGUAGGACUCU